CAGAGGAGAAGUCAGAGGACAGUUGAUAAGACACGUAGAAGACUUCAUACUGAAGAAGAAGCAAACAACAAAAAUACAACAUAUCAACGAGUUGUGAGUGAGAAACUUAGCGCCCAGAUAAUAAUCUACAAAGAAGACGUCACUUUGUAAAUGUGAAAAUGAUUUGGAUCUACAUGAUCAUCUCAUCUCUGGCAACGGCAGCUCUUUCAAAAGGU
This is a long non-coding RNA of Mugil cephalus (flathead mullet), 215 nucleotides long. RefSeq lists it as uncharacterized. The transcript has 3 exons. Lineage: Eukaryota; Metazoa; Chordata; Actinopteri; Mugiliformes; Mugilidae. The record is from RefSeq and is a predicted model, not a curated record.